RNAcentral lists this ribosomal RNA (459 nucleotides) under uncultured bacterium. Its description in RNAcentral is "partial 16S ribosomal RNA". It matches the Rfam family "Bacterial small subunit ribosomal RNA", at positions 339 to 795 of the family's 1533-position model. The record is from RNAcentral.
CUACGGGCCGCUGCAGUGAGGAAUAUUGGUCAAUGGGCGCGAGCCUGAACCAGCCAUCCCGCGUGCAGGAUGACGGCCCUAUGGGUUGUAAACUGCUUUUCUAUGCCAAGGAACCUGAUUACGUGUAAUCAGUUGCCGGUAGCAUAGGAAUAAGCAUCGGCUAACUCCGUGCCAGCAGCCGCGGUAAUACGGAGGAUGCAAGCGUUAUCCGGAUUCAUUGGGUUUAAAGGGUGCGCAGGUGGGCUUGUAAGUCAGUGGUGAAAUGCUGCCGCUUAACGGUAGAACUGCCAUUGAUACUGUGAGUCUUGAGUAUGGUUGAGGUAGGCGGAAUGUGUUGUGUAGCGGUGAAAUGCAUAGAUAUGACACAGAACGCCAAUUGCGAAGGCAGCUUACUAAGCCAUUACUGACGCUGAGGCACGAAAGCGUGGGGAGCGAACAGGAUUAGAUACCCUGGUAGUC